This 424-nucleotide ribosomal RNA is filed under the name uncultured bacterium. Its description in RNAcentral is "bacterial SSU rRNA". It matches the Rfam family "Bacterial small subunit ribosomal RNA", at positions 28 to 498 of the family's 1533-position model. The record is from RNAcentral.
GACGAACGCUGGCGGCAGGCUUAACACAUGCAAGUCGAACGCAUCCUUCGGGGUGAGUGGCAGACGGGUGAGUAACACGUGGGAACGUACCUUUCGGUUCGGGAUAACCCAGGGAAACUUGGGCUAAUACCGGAUACGUCCUUAGGGAGAAAGAUUCAUUGCCGAAAGAUCGGCCCGCGUCUGAUUAGCUAGUUGGUGAGGUAACGGCUCACCAAGGCGACGAUCAGUAGCUGGUCUGAGAGGAUGAUCAGCCACACUGGGACUGAGACACGGCCCAGACUCCUACGGGAGGCAGCAGUGGGGAAUAUUGGACAAUGGGCGCAAGCCUGAUCCAGCCAUGCCGCGUGAGUGAUGAAGGCCCUAGGGUUGUAAAGCUCUUUCGGCGGGGACGAUAAUGACGGUACCCGCAGAAGAAGCCCCGGCU